RNAcentral lists this ribosomal RNA (274 nucleotides) under uncultured bacterium. RNAcentral's name for it is "partial 16S ribosomal RNA". It matches the Rfam family "Bacterial small subunit ribosomal RNA", at positions 523 to 796 of the family's 1533-position model. The record is from RNAcentral.
AUACGGAGGGUCCGAGCGUUAUCCGGAAUCAUUGGGUUUAAAGGGUCCGUAGGCGGGAAUCUAAGUCAGUGGUGAAAUCUUGCAGCUCAACUGUAAAAUUGCCAUUGAUACUGGAUUUCUUGAAUUAGCGUGAAGUGGUCAGAAUGUGUAGUGUAGCGGUGAAAUGCAUAGAUAUUACACAGAAUACCAAUUGCGAAGGCAGAUCACUAACACUAUAUUGACGCUAAGGGACGAAAGCGUGGGGAGCGAACAGAAUUAGAAACCCUAGUAGUCC